Long non-coding RNA from Dermacentor silvarum, 427 nucleotides. RefSeq lists it as uncharacterized. NCBI's taxonomy places the organism in Eukaryota, Metazoa, Arthropoda, Arachnida, Ixodida, Ixodidae. The transcript is spliced from 3 exons. The record is from RefSeq and is a predicted model, not a curated record.
UCUCAGCACCCAGUCAAAUGCCAGAAGUGACUCAUACACAGGCCACCAGUGGCACUCAGCUGUACCACUGCACUGCUGCUGAAAUUGCCAGCACCAGCGGCUUUGUAACAGCUGUUUCACAGCAUCUCGGAGACAAUGCCUACGAAAUUAUUGGCCCUGAUGACGAGAGCCCUCAAGGGGCAAACGACAUCUCUGUUGCAGAAGUGAGCCCGAUACCACCUUAAUUUAGCAUGACAGAUGACACGGCUGCAAUAGAUACAGAGACUGCCGUGUCUACUGCAGCUGCAACAGUGUACGAGGCAAGCUGCAGCACGUCAGCAUCAGCAGUAGUGUCAGAAGGAACCGCACCAGGCCUGGUAGGGCAACUUGUGUGCUACCACUGUGACUUUUUUUGUAGUGCAUACACCUCAUUGUUGUUGAUGUUGUU